RNAcentral lists this ribosomal RNA (449 nucleotides) under uncultured bacterium. Its description in RNAcentral is "bacterial SSU rRNA". It matches the Rfam family "Bacterial small subunit ribosomal RNA", at positions 211 to 654 of the family's 1533-position model. The record is from RNAcentral.
UGAGGCGGUAAAGGAUGGGCAUGCGUGACAUUAGCUAGUUGGCGGGGUAACGGCCCACCAAGGCUACGAUGUCUAGGGGUUCUGAGAGGAAGGUCCCCCACACUGGUACUGAGACACGGACCAGACUCCUACGGGAGGCAGCAGUGAGGAAUAUUGGUCAAUGGGCGCGAGCCUGAACCAGCCAUCCCGCGUGCAGGAAGACGGCCCUAUGGGUUGUAAACUGCUUUUGUGCAGGAAGAACGUUCUCUACGUGUAGGGAAGUGACGGUACUGCAUGAAUAAGCACCGGCUAACUCCGUGCCAGCAGCCGCGGUAAUACGGAGGGUGCAAGCGUUAUCCGGAUUUAUUGGGUUUAAAGGGUGCGUAGGCCGGUGAAAUAAGUCAGUGGUGAAAAGCUUCAGCUCAACUGUAGUCCUGCCAUUUGAAACUGUUUUACUUUGAGUAACCAUG